RNAcentral lists this ribosomal RNA (442 nucleotides) under uncultured eukaryote. Its description in RNAcentral is "bacterial SSU rRNA". It matches the Rfam family "Eukaryotic small subunit ribosomal RNA", at positions 95 to 518 of the family's 1831-position model. The record is from RNAcentral.
GGCUCAUUAAAUCAGUUGCGAUCUACUCGGCGUUCCGCGCCGCCGGAUAACCGUAGUAAUUCUAGGGCUAAUACGUGCGAAGCGCCCGAAGCCGCGAGGCGACGGGCGUUCUCGCCGGAUGUAGGAACCGACCCGGGGACCGCCGGGGCAACCCGGCGCCCCCGAGACGGGGCGAACCACGGUGAAAUGACGGAUCGUCGGCCCCGCGCCGGCGACUCGCCGAAUGAGUUUCUGACCUAUCAACUCGAGACGGCGGGGUAGAGGCCCGCCGCGGUAACGCGGGUAACGGGGAAUCAGGGUUCGAUUCCGGAGAGGGAGCCCGAGAAACGGCUACCACUUCCAAGGAAGGCAGCAGGCGCGCAACUUACCCUAAUCUCGAUUCGAGGAGGUAGUGACAAGAAAUACCGAUGCGGGACCCUACGGGUGCCGCGUUCGGAAUGAG